Molecule: ribosomal RNA, 1422 nt
Filed under: Salmonella enterica subsp. enterica serovar Derby
Lineage: Bacteria; Pseudomonadati; Pseudomonadota; Gammaproteobacteria; Enterobacterales; Enterobacteriaceae
Description: bacterial LSU rRNA
Rfam family: Bacterial large subunit ribosomal RNA
Source: RNAcentral
AUGUAUAGGGGUGUGGGUGGUAACGCGGGGAAGUGAAACAUCUUAGUACCCGUAGGAAGAGAAAACAAGUGUGAUUCCGUGAGUAGUGGCGAGCGAAAGCGGAGGAGGCUAAACCGUGUGUGUGUUCAAGCCGGCAGGUGUUGCAUGUGCGGGGUUGUGGGGGCCUUGUGGUUCUGCUGCCGCAGGAUUGGCCAGUGAGAAAUGUUGCGUGAAGGUGAAGCGUCUGGGAAGGCGUACCGGAGUGGGUGAGAGUCCUGUAACUGUAAGCGUGGCACUGGUGUGGGGUUGCCCCGAGUAGCGUGGGACUCGUGGAAUUUCGCGUGAAUCUGGCGGGACCACCCGUCAAGCCUAAAUACUCCUUGGUGACCGAUAGUGGAUGAGUACCGUGAGGGAAGGGUGAAAAGUACCCCGGGAGGGGAGUGAAAGAGUUCCUGAAACCGGUCGCAUGCAAGCCGUCAGAGCCUGUGUGGUGAUGGCGUGCCUUUUGAAGAAUGAGCCUGCGAGUUAGUGAUGCGUGGCGAGGUUAACCCGUGGUGGGGGAGUCGUAGCGAAAGCGAGUCCGAUAAGGGCGUGAGUCGCGUGUUCUAGACCCGAAGCGGUGUGAUCUAUCCAUGGCCAGGAUGAAGCGUCGGUAAGACGUCGUGGAGGUCCGAACCCACUUCAGUUGAAAAUGGAGGGGAUGAGUUGUGGAUAGGGGUGAAAGGCCAAUCAAACACCGUGAUAGCUGGUUCUCCCCGAAAUGCAUUUAGGUGCAGCGUUGCGUGGUUCUUGUUGGAGGUAGAGCACUGGAUGGUCUAGGGGGCUUAUCGGCUUACCGAAAUCAGCCAAACUCCGAAUGCUGGCAAGUGUAGCGUGGCAGUGAGACGGCGGGGGAUAAGCUUCGUCGUCGAGAGGGAAACAGCCCAGAUCAUCAGCUAAGGCCCCUAAGUGGUGACUCAGUGGGAAAGGAUGUGGAGUUGCGUAGACAACCAGGAGGUUGGCUUGGAAGCAGCCAUCCUUGAAAGAGUGCGUAAUAGCUCACUGGUCAAGUGAUUCCGCGCCGAUAAUGUAGCGGGGCUUAAGUUAUCCGCCGAAGCUGUGGCAACCUGUGUGGUUGGGUAGGGGAGCGUCGUGUCAGUGGUGAAGCUGCCGGGUGACUGUGUGGUGGAGUUGAUGCGAGUGAGAAUGCAGGCAUGAGUAGCGUGUGACGGGUGGGAAUCCCGUCCGCCGAUUAUCCAAGGGUUCCAGGGUCAAGUUUGUCUGCCCUGGGUGAGUCGGGUCCUAAGGCGAGGCCGACAGGCGUAGUCGAUGGGUAACCAGUUGAUAUUCUGGUACCGGCUUGUCACCGUCCGUGUCGAGGUGUGUGAUGCUAAGCAUGUGAGCUUGUCUUGGGAGUGUUUUUGAUGCUUCUGGGGUGGGUGAGUGUGUGAACCGAUCAUGUAG